UACGUAGGUGGCAAGCGUUGUCCGGAAUUAUUGGGCGUAAAGCGCGCGCAGGCGGUCCUUUAAGUCUGAUGUGAAAGCCCACGGCUCAACCGUGGAGGGUCAUUGGAAACUGGGGGACUUGAGUGCAGGAGAGAAGAGUGGAAUUCCACGUAUAGCGGUGAAAUGCGUAGAGAUGUGGAGGAACACCAGUGGCGAAGGCGGCAUCCUGGACCGACAUUGACGCUGAGGAGCGAAAGCUAGGGGAGCAAACGGG
RNAcentral lists this ribosomal RNA (253 nucleotides) under uncultured bacterium. RNAcentral describes it as "partial 16S ribosomal RNA". It matches the Rfam family "Bacterial small subunit ribosomal RNA", at positions 524 to 776 of the family's 1533-position model. The record is from RNAcentral.